GUUAGAUUAGGUAGUUGGUGGGGUAACGGCCUACCAAGCCUACGAUCAGUAGCUGGUCUGAGAGGAUGAUCAGCCACACUGGGACUGAGACACGGCCCAGACUCCUACGGGAGGCAGCAGUGGGGAAUAUUGGACAAUGGGGGCAACCCUGAUCCAGCAAUACCAUGUGUGUGAAGAAGGCCUUAGGGUUGUAAAGCACUUUAGUCGCUGAGGAAGGCUAUUAGGUUAAGAGCUAGAUAGUUUGACGUUAGGCGAAGAAUAAGCACCGGCUAACUCCGUGCCAGCAGCCGCGGUAAUACGGAGGGUGCGAGCGUUAAUCGGAAUUACUGGGCGUAAAGGGUUCGUAGGUGGAUAAAUAAGUCAGAUGUGACAUCCCUGGGCUCAAACUAGGAAUUGCAUUUGAUACUGUUUAUCUAGAGUUCACUAGAGGAUUGGGGAAUUUCCGGUGUAGCGGUGAAAAUGCGUACAGAUCGGCAGGAACAUCCUUGGCGAGAGCAACAAUCCGGGGUUGUACUGACCCUGAGGGACGAAAGCGUGGGUAGCCAACAAGAUUAGA
This 556-nucleotide ribosomal RNA is filed under the name uncultured Gammaproteobacteria bacterium. RNAcentral describes it as "bacterial SSU rRNA". It matches the Rfam family "Bacterial small subunit ribosomal RNA", at positions 235 to 782 of the family's 1533-position model. The record is from RNAcentral. Lineage: Bacteria; Pseudomonadati; Pseudomonadota; Gammaproteobacteria.